RNAcentral lists this ribosomal RNA (440 nucleotides) under uncultured Brevundimonas sp. RNAcentral describes it as "bacterial SSU rRNA". It matches the Rfam family "Bacterial small subunit ribosomal RNA", at positions 338 to 795 of the family's 1533-position model. Lineage: Bacteria; Pseudomonadati; Pseudomonadota; Alphaproteobacteria; Caulobacterales; Caulobacteraceae. The record is from RNAcentral.
CCUACGGGCGGCAGCAGUGGGGAAUCUUGCGCGAUGGGCGAAAGCCUGACGCAGCCAUGCCGCGUGAAUGAUGAAGGUCUUAGGAUUGUAAAAUUCUUUCACCGGGGACGAUAAUGACGGUACCCGGAGAAGAAGCCCCGGCUCACUUCGUGCCAGCAGCCGCGGUCAUACGACGGGGGCUAGCGUUGCUCGGAAUUACUGGGCGUAAAGGGCGCGUAGGCGGGCAUUUAAGUCAGGCGUGAAAUCCCAGAGGUCAACUCUGGAACGGCCUUUGAAACUGGGUGUCUUGAGUGUGAGAGAGGUAUGUGGAACUCCGAGUGUAGAGGUGAAAUGCAUAGAUAUUCGGAAGAACACCGGUUGCGAAGGCGACAUACUGGCUCAUUACUGACGCUGAGGCGCGAAAGCGUGGGGAGCGAACAGGAUUAGAUACCCUAGUAGUC